RNAcentral lists this ribosomal RNA (282 nucleotides) under Triticum aestivum (bread wheat). Its description in RNAcentral is "partial small subunit ribosomal RNA". The record is from RNAcentral. Lineage: Eukaryota; Viridiplantae; Streptophyta; Magnoliopsida; Poales; Poaceae.
AUGUGCUCCACGCUCUCGCUCACCACCGUCGCACUCGGGAACUACCUCAGCACACUGCUCGUCACGGUGGUGGCCAAGGUCACCAUUAGGGGAGGCAAGCCAGGGUGGAUCCCCGACAACCUCAACGUCGGCCACCUCGACUACUUCUCCUGGCUGCUCAUCGCGCUCAGCCUCCUCAACUUUGUCGUCUACCUGCUCAUUGCCAGCUGGUACACCUACAAGAAGACCAAUGGAUAUUACCCGGACGCCAAAGGAGGAGCUGAUGAUUCACAUGACCAGUGA